UACGGAGGGUGCGAGCGUUGUCCGGAAUCACUGGGCGUAAAGGGUGCGUAGGCGGUUCGGUAAGUUGCUGGUGAAAUCCCGGGGCUCAACUCCGGGGCUGCCGGCAAGACUGUCGGACUCGAGCACGGUAGGGGCAGAUGGAAUUCCCGGUGUAGCGGUGGAAUGCGUAGAUAUCGGGAAGAAUACCAGUGGCGAAGGCGUUCUGCUGGGCCGUUGCUGACGCUGAGGCACGACAGCGUGGGGAGCAAACAGG
RNAcentral lists this ribosomal RNA (253 nucleotides) under uncultured bacterium. RNAcentral's name for it is "partial 16S ribosomal RNA". It matches the Rfam family "Bacterial small subunit ribosomal RNA", at positions 524 to 776 of the family's 1533-position model. The record is from RNAcentral.